Actinia tenebrosa (Australian red waratah sea anemone) is the source of this 538-nucleotide long non-coding RNA. RefSeq lists it as uncharacterized. The record is from RefSeq and is a predicted model, not a curated record. NCBI's taxonomy places the organism in Eukaryota, Metazoa, Cnidaria, Anthozoa, Actiniaria, Actiniidae.
CUUCCUUCGUUAAAUAUUUCUUACGAAAAGAAAUGUUGUUGGUAAAUGUGUUACCCUUGUCUGAAAUAUUACAGACAUUUGUUGAAUUAGUAAGACAAAACUUGGCCAUGCCACACCAUUUUGUCCCCUUAAGUUGAUAUCGUAACCAGAGCCCACUUUCCUCUUGGUCAGCACCGAGAAACGAGGGAUGCGGGCACGGGAUUGCCCCAUGAGUAAGCUGGAACAGAAAAUUAGCAUUAUCAAAGUAGUGUAUUAUUUUAAUCGACAAAGCCUUUUGCCCAUCCCAAAAGCUUGGAGAUCAAGACAAAGAGCACUGUACGAUUACAAGGACGGUGCCUCUCAAAACUAGGCUACGAUGCACCUUAUUUCCCAUGCCCCUGGAAACGCCGAACGACACGUGAUUAUGACUUAAAGAUUGACGUUUCGAGGAAGUUUCAAGACAGGGUUGCAUGAGAGUAGAGGGGUGUUUGAUGGAACUACUCUGAAAAGAUCAGUUAUGACUCUAUAAUAUAUAGAAGUUUGUUCGACGACUAUGAAA